GCGGGAAGGACCUCGUGCCCGGAGAGCGUGAGUGGGCUGGCAAGACGCAGUGUCUGAAUCGGGGCAACUUGUUCUUCCGGAACCGCAGCAGCACGACAGGCUCUUCGCGCUGAGCACCCCCCGGCUCAUAGACCAAUAUAGCAUGGAAAACUUCCGAGGCUGGCUGGCAACGGCGCAUCGGCUGCUGCCCGCAGGUAGGGACAGCCACCGCGUUGCUCGGUGCUUCUGCCGAACAGCUGGAGCAGCCGGAGGAGCCGGAGCAUUUCUGAUGAUGGAAAAUCCCUCCCUGCAAAGCAGUGCAGAUCACCUUGCCCCGGUUCAUGCUCUUUUCUGGAAUAAUCCCUCGUGGUGCUUCCAAACAGCCCCCGGCGACGAGCUCCGUGGGCAGGGGCUGCCUCCCACAGCCAGCAUGUGUUCACCAGGCAACUGAGGAGUGACCACUGCUCGUGUUAAUUCCAAUCAAUUUGGAAACAUCUGUCUAAGAAAAAUCAUCUCCGGUCCCUAGCAGAAGCGAUCUCUUCC
Molecule: long non-coding RNA, 522 nt
Organism: Chroicocephalus ridibundus (black-headed gull)
Lineage: Eukaryota; Metazoa; Chordata; Aves; Charadriiformes; Laridae
Exons: 4
Source: RefSeq, a predicted model, not a curated record